This 251-nucleotide ribosomal RNA is filed under the name Xylariales sp. RNAcentral's name for it is "partial small subunit ribosomal RNA". The stretch from base 1 to 105 matches the Rfam family "Eukaryotic small subunit ribosomal RNA", at positions 1334 to 1461 of the family's 1831-position model. The record is from RNAcentral. Lineage: Eukaryota; Fungi; Ascomycota; Sordariomycetes; Xylariales.
AACGAGACCUUAACCUGCUAAAUAGCCCGUCUUGCUUUGGCAGUACGCUGGCUUCUUAGAGGGACUAUCCGCUCAAGCGGAUGGAAGUUUGAGGCAAUAACAGGUUGAACUCACAGGCCUGUAACAGUGAGCCUCGUUAAAUAUUUUGCUAGUCCGCAUCUUUGUCUCUUUUGGGGGAGUCCCCUAUUAUCGGGAAGAGAGGCCGCUGCGGCGGCGUGAUGCGGGCAACACUACCUGGUACAGAGGACGCC